This is a long non-coding RNA of Anguilla rostrata (American eel), 786 nucleotides long. RefSeq lists it as uncharacterized. NCBI's taxonomy places the organism in Eukaryota, Metazoa, Chordata, Actinopteri, Anguilliformes, Anguillidae. The record is from RefSeq and is a predicted model, not a curated record. The transcript is spliced from 3 exons.
UUUGUUUCUACGGUGUACCCCCUCCCGUUUUCGACGACGGACUCGUCUUUACAAUGCACUUCCCUCUACUGGCUGGAGUGUCAAUUGCUCGAGGAACUGGAAAUUGCAACAACAGGCUGUGGUGGGGCCAAAGAAAAAUCUGGAACAAGGCAUCUGUCCAGGAGGUGUCAGUCAAGGAGAUGCAAGCUACAAUGCUAUUGUUGACCACAAUCCAGACAUUAUCCAGGAGGGAAGUGAUCAGAGAGGGUGAAGAGAGAAAGAUCACCAUGGGUCACCAUGGCAGGAAUAUGCUACAUGCCACGUUUGAGGAAGAUAGCUAGCUAGCUACUCAUGCUAAAAAUGUCUCAAAAAAAAUAGACAAUAAUUUUUUACUUUCAGCAAAUUUGUCAUCAUUUUUCAGAGAGUACAAGGUUUAAAUUGGCAGAAUAUGGUAAAACCUCGAUUUUGACCAAAGUCUCAUUUUCUGUUUUUUUGGUUGUUUGCCAGAAUGGAACAUCAGCGACAUCCAACAAGGCACUCAUUUAUUCCAUAUUUAGUCACAGAUAUUGAUAUUAGAAUGACACGGUUUAAUUCCACAAAAAUUCCUCUUGUUUAUUUCACUAGCAUCAUUUUUCACCACUGUAUUGCCAUACCUUCGGGCUAUUGUUGGCUUUAUCAUGUUGCUAUGACGGAACACAAAUAGAAAGAAUGAAAGAAUAUUUUGAUGAACUCCCAGAUAGACAAUUGUCCAGUGUGUCAUGCCUGGGGGGUGUAGUUGGAGAUGAGACUGCAGGGAGGGGUUGCUUG